UACGGAGGGUGCAAGCAUUGAUCGGAAUUACUGGGCGUAAAGGGCGCGUAGGCGGUUAAAUAAGUCAGAUGUGAAAUUCCGGGGCUCAACCCCGGAGCUGCAUUUGAAACUGUAUAGCUAGAGUUCAGUUGAGGUAAACGGAAUUCCACGUGUAGCGGUGAAAUGCGUAGAUAUGUGGAGGAACACCGGUGGUGAAGACGGUUUACUGGACUGAUACUGACGCUGAGGCGCGAAAGCGUGGGGAGCAAACAGG
This 253-nucleotide ribosomal RNA is filed under the name uncultured bacterium. RNAcentral's name for it is "partial 16S ribosomal RNA". It matches the Rfam family "Bacterial small subunit ribosomal RNA", at positions 524 to 776 of the family's 1533-position model. The record is from RNAcentral.